RNAcentral lists this long non-coding RNA (980 nucleotides) under Nicotiana benthamiana. RNAcentral's name for it is "long non-coding RNA (NBEN_LNC031159)". Lineage: Eukaryota; Viridiplantae; Streptophyta; Magnoliopsida; Solanales; Solanaceae. The record is from RNAcentral.
UUUAUUUUAUUCUACUUUUAUUUUUAUCUUGUUUAAUUUUCAUUUUCAGGGAUGUUGACCCUCAUAAUUGAUCGGAUUAUUUCCUUUUGUCCUGCUUAAUGCUUAGAUAUGGUGGGUCAACUAUUAUUUCUAUGGCCAUGUUAGUUUACCUCUUCUUCCUGCCACCAUUUUCCUAUUAUGCAACAGCAAACUUGUUCAAUAUAGAUGUGAUUAGCGAGCUGAUCGACCCAUUAUACAUAAUGAAGUGUAAUAUUAUCGAAGAAAAAGUUGGCCUUAAAGAAUCAAAUGUUCAUAGAUAUGCUGUUGAAAUCGCCACAGGCAGAUUAGAACCACAUGACUGCUGGUCCUAGGUAUGGAACCUUUCUUCUUUUUAAAUUUUACAGAGAUGUACCUAGGUGUGAUAUUAGGCAUAAAAGGUGCACUUGGAAUAUAAUGCAAGAUGGUUUAUAUCUCUAUUUUAAUUUCGAGCAAAAUUUAAUUUUCAACUGGUCAAUGUCACCUAUAUCAUUCAAUGUAGAUGUCAUAAGUGAAUUGAUUGAUCCAUUAUACAUCGACUGUAAAUUGAACGGCAUAAUUAUUCCGACAGUCGGCCUUAAACAGAGUGUGAUAUUAGGCAUAAAAGAUGCACUUGGAAUAUAAUGCAAGAUGGUUUAUAUCUCUAUUUUAACUUCGAGCAAAAUUUAAUUUUCACCUAUAUCAUUCAAUGUAGAUGCAUGUAAUUAGUGAGUUGAUUGAUCCACUAUACAUCGACUGUAAAAUGAACGACAUAAUCAUUCCGAUAGUCGGCCUUAAACAGCCAAAUCUUCAUAGGUAUAUCGUUCCAGUUAUUAAUACUGGAGCAUUAGUAUUUAAUCUUUUAUGAUUUGGGUUUCCCUAUACUCUUCAUACAAUUGUUUUAAUUCUUCACAAAAAUCUUCCGCACAAGCAGAGGAAGAUCUAGGUGGGAGGAAGGGAUUCAACCGAACCUCUUUCGUCGAAAC